GGGCUUGUGGUUUAGUGGUAUAAUUUUCCCUUAGCAUUGCUUCGAAAACAAUUGGGAAAGGUCCUGGGUUCGAUUCCCAGCAAGUCCA
Molecule: transfer RNA, 88 nt
Filed under: Pleomassaria siparia CBS 279.74
Lineage: Eukaryota; Fungi; Ascomycota; Dothideomycetes; Pleosporales; Pleomassariaceae
Rfam family: tRNA
About the family: Transfer RNA (tRNA) molecules are approximately 80 nucleotides in length.
Source: Rfam by way of RNAcentral